This 245-nucleotide ribosomal RNA is filed under the name uncultured bacterium. RNAcentral's name for it is "partial 16S ribosomal RNA". It matches the Rfam family "Bacterial small subunit ribosomal RNA", at positions 524 to 768 of the family's 1533-position model. The record is from RNAcentral.
AACGUAGGAGGCGAGCGUUGUUCGGAAUUACUGGGCGUAAAGCGCGCGUAGGCGGCCUUGUAAGUCGGAUGUGAAAGCCCUCAGCUCAACUGAGGAACUGCGUCCGAUACUGCUCGGCUUGAGUCCGGUAGGGGAUGGCAGAAUUCCCGGUGUAGCGGUGGAAUGCGUAGAUAUCGGGAGGAAUACCGAUGGCGAAGGCGGCCAUCUGGGCCGGAACUGACGCUGAUGCGCGAAAGCUAGGGGAG